This 318-nucleotide unclassified non-coding RNA is filed under the name uncultured fungus. RNAcentral's name for it is "partial contains 5.8S ribosomal RNA and internal transcribed spacer 2". The stretch from base 1 to 133 matches the Rfam family "5.8S ribosomal RNA", at positions 22 to 154 of the family's 154-position model. Lineage: Eukaryota; Fungi. The record is from RNAcentral.
UGGUUCUGGCAUNGAUGAAGAACGCAGCGAAAUGCGAUAAGUAAUGUGAAUUGCAGAAUUUAGUGAAUCAUCGAAUCUUUGAACGCACAUUGCGCCCCUUGGUAUUCCGAAGGGCAUGCCUGUUCGAGCGUCAUUAAAACCCUCAAGCAAUGCUUGGUGUUGGGCCCUGCCGUGACUGGCAGGCCUUAAAAUCAGUGGCGGUGCCUCCUGGCUCUAAGCGUAGUAAAUCUUCUCGCUACAGGGUCAGAUGGGGUCCCUGUCCAUCAAGCCUAAAUUUCUUAACAAAUUGACCUCGGAUCAGGUAGGGAUACCCGCUGA